RNAcentral lists this ribosomal RNA (526 nucleotides) under uncultured bacterium. RNAcentral's name for it is "bacterial SSU rRNA". It matches the Rfam family "Bacterial small subunit ribosomal RNA", at positions 28 to 537 of the family's 1533-position model. The record is from RNAcentral.
GACGAACGCUGGCGGCGCGCUUAACACAUGCAAGUCGUGCGGUGUGGAAGGCAAGUCUUACGACAAGCCUUCGACACAGCGGCGAACGGGUGAGUAACACGUGAGUAGCUGUCCUAAGGAGGGGGAUAACGCCUGGAAACGGGUGCUAAUACCCCAUAUGCCUCGCAAGAGGUGAAAGUGUACUUGCUACAGCCUUAGGGUGUGCUCGCGGCCUAUCAGCUAGUUGGUGAGGUAACGGCUCACCAAGGCUAAGACGGGUAGCCGGCCUGAGAGGGUGUACGGCCACACUGGAAUUGAGAUACGGUCCAGACUCCUACGGGAGGCAGCAGUGGGGAAUCUUGGGCAAUGGGCGAAAGCCUGACCCAGCGACGCCGCGUUGGGGAUGAAGCCCCUUUGGGGCGUAAACCCAUGUUGUAGGGGACAAGAAAGUGACGGUACCCUACGAGAAAGCCCCGGACCAACUACGUGCCCAAGCACGCCGACGUAAGUACGUACUACUAUUCGAGCGGCGGCGUGGACGAGGCCG